UUCCCCGGGGCUGACCCAUGUGAGUAGGUACCAGAAAAGUUGUCCUCUGCCCUCUGAUUCCUUGGCUGAGAUAAAAGGGGGUUUGCACAGCUAGAUAUUGGUGCUACUGUUGCUUUUGGUUCCACGAUGACGUCUGUGUUUCUGGAGGGCUCCUCUGGGCUGCUUCUGGUGGUUAAUGCCCUCCUUGGCUGAGUGAGGUCUGGGGUCCAUCUAGCCCGGGCUCUGUCUCUGACAGUGGCAAAAAGAUAUUACCUGACUGCUUUCUGCGGUCUACUCCCCUGCACCCCCAAUUAUAGAAUCAUAGAAUAACUUAGGCUGGAAGGGACCUCUGAGGUCAUCCAGUCCAGCUCAAAGUAGGUCUGAUCAGAUGAGCUUGCUCAGGGACCUGACCAGCCCGGUCUUGAACACCUCCAAGGACUGGAGAUCCCAGAGCCUCUCUGGGUGACUUUUUUCCAGUGUUUGACCAUCCCUGUGGUAAUUUUUUUUUUCUUAUAGUUAACUGGAAUUUUCCAUGCUCCAACUUGCAACAUUAGAGGGCACAUCCUUGCUUAUUUCUUUUGUUCAUAAAUUUGUCUAAUCCUCCUUGACCCAGCUGACACUCUCUCCACAGCUUCCUAGGGCAAAAUCCUCCACAAAUGCACUACCAGCAGCGCAAGGAAGGUCUCGGCUUAAAGGCUAAUUCUAGGGUCUAAGCCAAGAAUGGCCUUCGGGUGGUGAUGGGGAGCUGGGCAACAGUUAACUCCCUCUUUAUACACUUUCACCCUCUGUUCACACUCAUUUUUCCAUCACAACCUAUUUUCCAGGUCUAUAAGUAUUUGAUUUGCCCGAAAAAGAUUGUAACGGUUAUUAUUUUCACCAGUGACUGAUUUGCAUGAAUUUGUUCAGCCAGCAGUACAAUAGCUCUUUCUGGCCAAGACUGAAUGAGGUAUGUGAAUUAUUUUGUUUAUAAGAAACAAAGCAACCUUCCUGUGCCAGGAUUAAGAAGACCUGCGUUCCUUUCCUGGCUCUACCCUGGCUUCCCGUGUGAUCUGGCCAAGUCAUUUCAUGUCUCUGUGCAUCUACCUCCCAUCUGGAAAACAGAAGCAGCACUUCAGAAGAAACAGUAGGGUUUACUUUCUUAGUAGCUGCAAAGCACUCUGAGAUGCCGAGCUGGAAGAACGGCAAUGUGUCAUUAUUAACAGAACAAUGCCAAUUCUGACAUUGCUAAUGCUAUAACAAUAUGAAUAUUCAAAAGCAGCAGCAUCUUUGUUAGAGAUUCUGAUUAAUCAGUGAUUAAUAUCACUGUCAUUUCCUGUAAGCUGAGAAUAAUCCGUGCCAUGUUCUUAUCUAAAGAAAAGGAAAAGAGAGACGAGGGGAAAGAUAGUGCCUUAACAUAGUGGUAGAUGCACUUCAAUCAUAUCUAUAAA
RNAcentral lists this long non-coding RNA (1406 nucleotides) under Struthio camelus australis. RNAcentral's name for it is "lncRNA (ENSSCUG00000009474.1)". The record is from RNAcentral. Lineage: Eukaryota; Metazoa; Chordata; Aves; Struthioniformes; Struthionidae.